Molecule: long non-coding RNA, 125 nt
Organism: Sphaeramia orbicularis (orbiculate cardinalfish)
Lineage: Eukaryota; Metazoa; Chordata; Actinopteri; Kurtiformes; Apogonidae
Exons: 3
Source: RefSeq, a predicted model, not a curated record
AAAACAGACGCGUUUGAUUCAGAGGAGGUGAAAGUAGAUGAACAGGUGAACCUUUGGUGUAAAAGUAGAACCGAUUUAACCCCUUUAAAGUCCAGUUUCUGAAGCAGCCUCAGGGUUAAAGGUCA